Molecule: ribosomal RNA, 490 nt
Filed under: Pusionella compacta
Lineage: Eukaryota; Metazoa; Mollusca; Gastropoda; Neogastropoda; Turridae
Description: partial 16S ribosomal RNA
Rfam family: Bacterial large subunit ribosomal RNA
Source: RNAcentral
AUAGGGAGUCUGACCUGCCCAGUGAGAACUCUUUAACGGCCGCGGUACUCUGACCGUGCAAAGGUAGCAUAAUCAUUUGCCUUAUAAUUGAAGGCUAGUAUGAAUGGUUUGAUAAGAAUACAACUGUCUCUUUAUAAUUUUAUAGAAAUUUAUUUUAAGGUGAAGAAGCCUUAGUAAAAUUAAUAGACAAGAAGACCCUAUCGAGCUUUAAAAAAAUUAAUAGAAAUUAGAUAAUAAUGAAUAAAAGCUCUACUAUUAAAAAUUUUAGUUGGGGCGACUGAGGAACAAAAGAAGCUUCCUCUAAAUACAUAAACAUUCAAGUUUUGAUCCAAAAUUUUUGAUUAAAGGAAUUAGUUACCGUAGGGAUAACAGCAUUAUCUUUUUUGAGAGCUCUUAUCGAAAAAAAGGUUUGUGACCUCGAUGUUGGACCAGAAUAUCCUAAAGAUGCAGAAGUCUUUAAAGGUUGGUCUGUUCGACCAUUAAAAUUCUA